AAUGUGAAGCCGAUGGUGUGAAUAGAUUGCUGGUGGUGUAAGAGGAGGUGUAUUUUUGAAUCCGUGGCUGAGCUGUCUAGAUUUAUAUCUUCUAACAGAAUCAGCAUAGCUGUCAUUAAAGCUGUUUCACAGAAUGAAUUCUUGUCCAGUUGUAGCAAGAGAGGGUCCUGUGCGAAGGGUCGCUAUCUUUGGAGGAACCCACGGCAAUGAGUUGUCUGGGGUAUUCCUGGUCAAGCACUGGCAGGAUGAUGGAACAGAGAUUCAGCGACCGGGGCUGGAGGUACGGCCUUUUAUCACCAAUCCAAGAGCAGUGGAGAAAUGUUGCCGAUAUAUUGACUGCGACCUGAAUCGGGUUUUUGAUCCUAAAAGACUUGGCGAACAGCUUGCAGACAACACUCUGUAUGAAGUGAGAAGGGCUCAAGAAAUAAACUGCAUAUUUGGUCCAAAAGGUAGCCAUGAAGCCUAUGACCUUAUAUUUGACCUGCACAACACAACAGCUAACAUGGGUGGCACCAUCAUACUGGAAAACUCCAGGGAUGAUUUCACAAUUCAGAUGUGUCGCUAUAUAAAGGAUGCUUUGGCUCCAGAAGGUUGCCCUGUUUUCCUCAUUGAGCAUCCCAACCUGAAAUAUGCAACGACCCGGUCUAUAGCAAAACAUCCUGUAGGCAUUGAAGUGGGUCCUCAGCCCCAAGGAGUUCUCAGGGCUGACAUUUUGGACAAAAUGCGGAGGAUCAUCAAGCAUGGCCUUGACUUUGUGCAAAUGUUCAAUGCAGGAAAAGAAUUCCCUCGGUGUACAAUUGAAGUUUACAAAAUAAUGGAGAAAGUAGAUUAUCCAAGAAAGAAAAAUAAUGAGAUCAUGGCUGUCAUUCACCCUAACCUGCAGGAUCAAGACUGGCAGCCUCUCAACCCUGGUGACCCUAUGUUUUUAACUCUUGAAGGAAAGACAAUCCCAUACGAAGGAGACGUGAUAGUAUAUCCAGCCUUUGUGAAUGAAGCUGCUUAUUAUGAAAAGCAACAAGCUUUUGUAAAAACUGUAAUAGAAAAAUUGAGUGCAGAAGGGAUCAGAGCAUGUGUCUCUUAGAACUGGAAUAAUUUUUCAUUUAACUUUUUCAAAACUUAGGAUGAAACCCAAUUACAGAUGCAUUUGAUCUUUCUAAUUCAAGAUGCCCAGAACUCAAAGGCUGUAACUCAGACAGAGACUUUAAUAUUUAAUGGAUAAGAUUGGCCACCUUUUUGAAUCUCCUAUUAAAGUCAGGAGGUGAGGUGGCUCCUCCCAUCCAUUCCCUCUGCAGUACUGUCUUCUGGCACCCGGGCAAGCAGGUACCCAGUAGAGAGGUGGAUGGAAGAAGGUAGAUAGCCAUCUACUAGUACAUCUCAGGGCCAUUUGCAGUAGAUUGGCAAGGAUUUCCAGCUCCCAGCAACAAUAGCAGCAACAAAAUGACUCCCUGCACCGCCCUUAAUUUAUACUGCUGAAAUGAAGAGAGCAUAGAGUGGUAAUGGGAAAACCAACCUGAAGCCUCCAGAUAUGUUCACUCUCCUUGGAUAUAUCUUCCACCGUCUCCCCCAUCAAUGCGAUCAACAUGUUAAGGAGGAGAACAAAGGUCAAGAUGACGAAGGAGAUGCGGAGCAGCAGAAACAGAAUGGGGUAUUUUGCAUCCUCGUGGAUCUCCAGGUCACCAAGGCCUAAAGUGAGUUUGAAGAGUUCGAUCUCGACAUUCCCUAAAGUGCUGAAGUUACUGCACUUACUGUUUUCAGGACAAUCGUCUAUCAAGGCAGCAAGGGCUGUGUUUAAGAGAGAAAGAGAGAAGGGCACCUUUAAUAUUGUAUAUUUGUAGAAUGUCUUCUGUGUUCCUGUGCGCUUUUCUGGAAGUUUACAAGGAGUUCUUACGAGGGUCAAGAAUGGUUGACAAGCUCCCCAAAGACUCCCCAAUCCUUGCAUUUAUCUUACCCCAUAUUCAGAAGAAAACGUUGGGGGGAAGCUUCCACAUUGCAGUCUAUUGGAGACAUGAUGCGCUCAUCUACAGAAGUUUUGUUCACCAUCCACACAAUGUUGUCCCCACUAAAAUCCCAUCCCAUAACCCCACCCCAUUUAAUUUGGAUCUACCAUUUCCACAGGGUGGCUUUUUGGGUUUUUUUACUUGCUGCAUUUUCUGCAGAAUUGGUACAUCUGGAUUCAAUGGAGAAAUAAUAUGGGGCAGAGUGCUAGGAUGAUUUUCUGUGGAAACGACACAAAACUUGGCCGCAUGAACUGCCAUGUGGAAGAUCCAAAUCAUAUAUUGGUACAAUUUGGAUUGGUGUAAGAGGAUGCAAGCUUACACAUUUCACUGAAUGCUUUGUCGGGCAGAGCAGGGCUAUGUUUACCUAGAUGGGCCAUGAGUUCUGCAGGCUUAGUCCAGCAAAGAUUAGAUAGCUCAGCAUUCCAGCUAUGCAAAAUGUUUUUAAGAUACCGCCACCUUCCUAUAAUAACCAUCAAAUUCUGCUUACCUACACCAAAUCCGAGCAGAAAUACAAUGUACACCACUAGAAACUUUAUCACGUCAUGCAAUAUGACCUAUAAAAGGAAAAGGAAAACACAAUGGCAUGUUAAUUAGAACCUCAAAACUCUCCAUUUUACCGCUCUACCUCUUUCAGUAGUUCAAGUUAUCAGCAUCAGUGUAUUCAGUCUAUAUGCAUUUGGAAAGCUGACCCCAAAAGCACUUUUACUGGAUGCUGAUACAUUGUGAAGACAAAACGGGCUCUCUCAAUUUGUCUGCAUUAAGAUGUGCUUCAGAGAUCCUUAUGCUGAAUCAGACCAUUGCUCCAUAAGAAUAUAAGAAGAGCCUGCUGAAUCAGGCCCAUGGCCCAACUAGCCCAGCAUCCUGUUCUCACAGUGGCCACCCAGAGAAUGCCUGUGGGAAACCAGCAAGCAGGACCCGGGCACAAGAGCUCUCUUCCCUCCUUCCAAUAGCAGAUAAAGGAAAAGGACCCCCAGACGGUUAAGUCCAGUCAAAGGCAGCUAUGCUGUUAGGCGCUCAUCUCGCUUCAGCCAAGCGGGCCAGUGUUUGUCCGCAGACAGCUUUCCAGGUCAUGUGGCCUGCAUGACUAAACCGCUUCUGGCACAACGGGACACCGUGAUGAUUGCCAGAGCCUACAGAAAUGUCAUUUACCUUCCCACUGCAGUGGUACCUAUUUAUCUGCUUGUGUUAGUAUGCUUUCGAAUUGCUAGGUUGGCAGGAGCUGGGACAGAGCAACGGGAGCUCACCCCAUGGCACGGAUUCAAACCGCCGACUUUCUGUUCAGCAAGCCCAAUAGAGGCAGAGCAUAGCCAUCAUCUAUCUAUCUCUGUGUUAUCAAUUGUGGCUCUCCAUGGUUUCAGGCAGGGAAUCUUUCCCCAUCCUGCCUGGAGAUGCCAGGGAUUAAACUCCUGCAUGCAGAGCAGGAGCUGCUCUUGCACUUCCCUCAAAGACAGGCUGCUUUGUUUCAAAAGAAGGAAAAAUGGGCAUUAGAAG
This is an RNA transcript of Podarcis raffonei (Aeolian wall lizard), 3488 nucleotides long. It is a transcript of the gene named aspartoacylase, with no coding region annotated. The record is from RefSeq and is a predicted model, not a curated record. The transcript is spliced from 10 exons. NCBI's taxonomy places the organism in Eukaryota, Metazoa, Chordata, Lepidosauria, Squamata, Lacertidae.